UUCCUACGGGGGGCAGCAGUGGGGAAUAUUGGACAAUGGGCGCAAGCCUGAUCCAGCCAUGCCGCGUGAGUGAUGAAGGCCUUAGGGUUGUAAAGCUCUUUUACCAGGGAAGAUAAUGACGGUACCUGGAGAAUAAGCCCCGGCUAACUUCGUGCCAGCAGCCGCGGUAAUACGAAGGGGGCUAGCGUUGCUCGGAAUCACUGGGCGUAAAGCGCACGUAGGUGGGUCGUUAAGUCGGGGGUGAAAUCCUGGAGCUCAACUCCAGAACUGCCUUCGAUACUGGCGAUCUUGGAGUCCGGGAGAGGUGAGUGGAACUGCGAGUGUAGAGGUGAAAUUCGUAGAUAUUCGCAAGAACACCAGUGGCGAAGGCGGCUCACUGGCCCGGUACUGACACUGAGGUGCGAAAGCGUGGGGAGCAAACAGGAUUAGAUACCCCAGUAGUCCU
This 445-nucleotide ribosomal RNA is filed under the name uncultured Hyphomicrobiales bacterium. RNAcentral's name for it is "bacterial SSU rRNA". It matches the Rfam family "Bacterial small subunit ribosomal RNA", at positions 336 to 797 of the family's 1533-position model. Lineage: Bacteria; Pseudomonadati; Pseudomonadota; Alphaproteobacteria; Hyphomicrobiales. The record is from RNAcentral.